UACGUAGGGUGCGAGCGUUGUCCGGAAUUAUUGGGCGUAAAGAGCUCGUAGGCGGUGUGUCACGUCGGCCGUGAAAACCUGCAGCUUAACUGUGGGCGUGCGGUCGAUACGGGCAUCACUGGAGUUCGGCAGGGGAGACUGGAAUUCCUGGUGUAGCGGUGAAAUGCGUAGAUAUCUGGAGGAAUACCGGUGGCGAAGGCGGCAUCCUGGACCGGCAUUGACGCUGAUGAGCGAAAGCUAGGGGAGCAAACGGG
Molecule: ribosomal RNA, 254 nt
Filed under: uncultured bacterium
Lineage: Bacteria
Description: partial 16S ribosomal RNA
Rfam family: Bacterial small subunit ribosomal RNA
Source: RNAcentral